RNAcentral lists this non-coding RNA (809 nucleotides) under Procapritermes sp. A TB-2017. The record is from RNAcentral. Lineage: Eukaryota; Metazoa; Arthropoda; Insecta; Blattodea; Termitidae.
GUUAAGUUUUAUUCUUGCUUUUUCAUUCAGUUUUUAUUUGUUCUAUAUGUAAGUUUUUGUGUGUAUUUAAUGUUUUGGUUCUAGAUGAAUUGAUGUAUUGUUUUAUCAUUCUCAUUAGUUAUUAUUGGUUGAUCAAGUAUUUUUGUAUUCAGCAAUAUUUUUAGUUUCGGUUAAAUUUUGUGCCAGCAGCCGCGGUUAUACCUUGGAGGCAUUUGAAUGUGUUUGGCAUAUGUAGUUAUAUUGUUUAGUUUUUUUAAUUUUGUUUUAAUAGUUGUUAGGUGAAAUUUUUUUUGUUUUUGUGUUUUAUUUUUCUAUUUGGAGGCUAUGAAAUUCUUUUUAUAAACUAGGAUUAGAUACCCUAUUAUUUUUGAAUGUUAAUUUUUUGUGUUUGAGUAGUAUUAGUUAUGUUCUUGAAACUUAAAGAAUUUGGCGGUAUCUCAUUCCGUCCAGAGGAAUCUGUCUCGUUAUCGAUAGUCCGCGUUGGACCUUACUUGGUUUAUUAUGGUUUGUAUACCGCCGUUUAUUGAUUAUCUUUUUAGAGUUUUUAAUUUUCUGGUUUCUUUAUUUUGAUUUAUUUCAGGUCAAGGUGCAGCUUGUUUCUAAGUGGAAUGAUGGAUUACAUUAUUAUUUGUUUAUUGGAUUAUUGAUUUUAAUAUUGAUAUGAAAUUGGAUUUGGUUGUAAUUGUUUGUAGAUUGUUAUUAUGAUAAAUGGUUCUGAGAUAUGCACACAUCGCCCGUCGCUCUCGUUUUAUUGUUAAUGAGAUAAGUCGUAACAAAGUGGUUGUACCGGAAGGUGCAGCUGGAUUGAU